RNAcentral lists this long non-coding RNA (557 nucleotides) under Homo sapiens (human). RNAcentral's name for it is "HSALNT0156913". Lineage: Eukaryota; Metazoa; Chordata; Mammalia; Primates; Hominidae. The record is from RNAcentral.
CUGGGCUCAGGCCCAGAGUGCCAGCUUUGCCCUAUCCCAUAGCCUGGAGCCACCACAGGAGGGGCACUCCACUCUCUUGGGCUCCUGGAGCCUCAGAGGCAGAGCCAGCCGGGAGUGCAGGAGGGAGAACUUUCCUGUGGACGUCCUGUGUUCUCCAGACGCAGAGAACCCUCAUCAACCGAGGGGGAGGUCACUUCCGAAUCCACAGAUGGCGUGUGAGUGCAUGGCGAGCGCCUCCAGGACACACUUACUGUUCCCUUGCUCUGGCCAGACGCCAGCCGGACCCUGUGUGUGCGCGCCGUGCUGCUCUUUGCAGCUGCCUGCAAGGGGUUCCUGCGAAGACCAGCACCUUGGGGAAGAGCCUGCGGCUGAACUUGAACUCGCAGCUACCUGAGUCAGACCUGUGCUUUUUCACCUCUACGGAAGAUGUCAGAGCGUUUCCCUAGCAAUGUUUUAGAAGUUACUUCUGUCUGGAAAAAAAUGGAAAAAAUGGCAAAUUAUGUUAUGUAUAAUUUGAUAAUUUUAAAGAAUUAAUGAUGUAAUUAUUACUCAAACCC